This 91-nucleotide transfer RNA is filed under the name Candidatus Omnitrophica bacterium ADurb.Bin277. Its description in RNAcentral is "tRNA-Leu". It matches the Rfam family "tRNA". From Rfam's summary of the family: Transfer RNA (tRNA) molecules are approximately 80 nucleotides in length. Their secondary structure includes four short double-helical elements and three loops (D, anti-codon, and T loops). Further hydrogen bonds mediate the characteristic L-shaped molecular structure. tRNAs have two regions of fundamental functional importance: the anti-codon, which is responsible for specific mRNA codon recognition, and the 3' end, to which the tRNAs corresponding amino acid is attached (by aminoacyl-tRNA synthetases). tRNAs cope with the degeneracy of the genetic code in two manners: having more than one tRNA (with a specific anti-codon) for a particular amino acid; and 'wobble' base-pairing, i.e. permitting non-standard base-pairing at the 3rd anti-codon position. The record is from RNAcentral. Lineage: Bacteria; Pseudomonadati; Candidatus Omnitrophota.
GUGCCCGAGUGGCGGAAUCGGCGGACGCACGGGAUUUAAAAUCCUGGGGGACCUGAUAAUCCCGUGCCGGUUCAAGUCCGUCCUGAGCAUU